This is a regulatory RNA element of Roseobacter denitrificans OCh 114, 99 nucleotides long. It matches the Rfam family "Pyrrolysine insertion sequence mttB". The record is from Rfam. Lineage: Bacteria; Pseudomonadati; Pseudomonadota; Alphaproteobacteria; Rhodobacterales; Roseobacteraceae.
UUGCGGACAGCAAACUGCCCGACAUGCAGGCGGGCUGGGAGCAGAUGUGCUCAAACGUGAUGGCCGGGCUUGCGGGGUUGAACAUGGUCUAUGAGGCGG